This is a non-coding RNA of Oryctolagus cuniculus (rabbit), 5510 nucleotides long. The record is from RefSeq and is a predicted model, not a curated record. NCBI's taxonomy places the organism in Eukaryota, Metazoa, Chordata, Mammalia, Lagomorpha, Leporidae.
GGGAAAGAACCUAUAACAAAAAAUUGAGUGGCAGAUCGGGUCGAAGCCCCCGAAUCCCAGACAACAGGGAUCACGGCAGGCGUAUUUCCUUCUGGAGAACAAUUUAAAAGUGGUACUAAUAAAGGCGACUGUAAUGAGAGGUCAAAAUACUGAGGCUACAGAGAGGUGUGAGACACGGGCUUUGCUCUAGAGCAGCCCACGAGGCAUCGGAGUCGGACAUCUACACAGAAGCGGUAGCAGGUGUGCGCGGGGAAAUGCCUCCCCGGGACGCAGGCGCCCAGGAGGGAGAGGCGCGGAAGCUUCCAGACCUGGGACCGUCCGCAGCGCAGCGUGGGGGCUGGGCGUGGCCGGCCUGCUCGGUGUCGUCAUCCCCUGCAGCCUGGAGUAACUGUCUUUCUUCCUUUGGGCACAGGGAAGUGUGCAAAAGUAGCUCAGGAACUGGGAAGUGUCGGACAGCCGUAUUCUCAGUGCACCCGGGAAGGGGCUUGGCCCCGAUGUUGCCACAUGAGCCGCUUCAAAUGAGGUCUAAUGGGAGUGACCCCAUAAUCAGGGCCUGACUAACUGCGGCUCCCCGAGCCCCUUGCAUCACCUGUGGCAGGGCGGCGGUCAUCUUCCUCGAGUCAGCGACAUGAUAAGCACAGUCCCGGAGACGAGCAGGCGCUGGGGAGCUGCUUGUUUGUUGCUCAUGUCUUUUAAAAAAUGUUUUAUUGAUUUGUUUUUGUAUUCAGUUGGAAGAAAGAGACACAGACAUACAGGGAGAGAGCUCCCUUCUGCUGGUUCACUCCCCAAAUCCCACAUCAGCCAGGCUCAAAGCCAGGAGCUUCUAACGUAAAAGGAGGGAACCCAAGCACCCGGACCACCACCUGCCAGCCUUCUAGGGUCACGUGAGCAGAAAGCUAGACGUGCUUGCGUCUUUGUAAUUUUUAUUUUAUUUCCAUGUCUUUCUAUUUUAAAUGAUCUCCAUGAAAUCUUUCCAGGCACACCCCAGGGAAAAGUCAUCAUUUCUUCUGAGUUCCUUCAGGACUUGAGUGUGGUCUCAGUGAGAGGAGCAGGGUUUGGCUAUAAAUUACACAACCCCUUUCAGCCUCUGGUUUUCAGCUCUGAAAGGGGAGCGGUGACUCCCGCGCACAGAAUCAUGUGAUCACGUGUGCCCUCCCUCUGUGCUGCUUGGCGCCAGCUAGUGCGUCCAGGUGGAGGGAGUGUGGAGUUCCUGGAAGGAAGCAGCUUAGUCAUGCCAAGUAGCAUCGCCUCCUCGUGGGCAGCAAGGCACUGGGGUGGGUGCCAAAUGUUGAAUGGAACUUGCGUCUUACCUCAGUGUCCUCCCCAUGUGCACUUCUUGUUUUUCCAGGAAAUGGCUGCUCAAGGACUUGUUCUCAGGAGGACAGGUGCUACACAGCACCUACCUUCCCCCUGGUGCAUUCAUUCCACAAAUAUUUAUUGAGCACAUUUGACAUUUGCCCUGGCCUGCUCUGUCGGGCCUAGAGACCCACCCCUCCCAGGUGCCCUCACAGGCUGAGUUUAUGGUCUCUUGUAUUUUUGUUUCUAUCUCAGAUCAUAUAUUUUUUCCAAAGUGAUUACAGUCUACCCAAGUUAACACAAUAAGAAAGUCUCCUUGGCUCUAUUUUGUUUCUUCAAUGAAGACUUUAUUACCCAGCAAUUAAAACCAUUGAGGAUGGUGCUGUGGCACAGCAGGUUAAAGCCAAGGCCUAUAACGCCGGCAUCUCAUACGGCCUCUGGUUCAAGUCCAGGCUGCUCUACUUCUGACCUGCACCCUGCUGAUGCACCUGGGAAGGCUGUAGAAGAUGGCCCGAGUCCCUGGACCCCUGCACCUGCGUGAGAGACCCAGAGGAAGCUCCUGGCUCCUGGCUUCGGAUUGGCCUAGCCCCUAGCCAUUGCAGUCAUUUGGGGAGUGUAACUCUGCCUUUAAAAUAAAGAAAUAAAUCUUUAAAAAGAGCCAAGAAUGUAUUUUUCUACAUAAUUUACUGUGAGGCUAUUAGCUUCAUUGCAUAGAGGGUUAAUUUUCACCACUUGCUGUUUUCCUUCCACAGUCUUGCACACCACACUUUUAAAUUUCCUUUUUAUAAGCUUUUUAAAAAUUUAUUAUUUGAAAAGCAGAGUUAGAGAGAGGCAGAGGCAGAGAUCUUCCAUGCGCUGGUUCACUCCCCAAAUGCCUGCAGUGUUGGCAUCCCAUUUGGGCACUGGUUGGAGUGCUAGCUGCUCCACUUCUGAUCCAGCUCUCUGCUAUGGUCUCGGAAAGCAGUAGAAGAUGGCUCAAGUCCUUGGGCCCCUGCAUCCAUGUGGGAGACCCAGGAAGAAGCUCCUGGUUCCUGGCUUUGGCCUGGCACAGCCCCAGAUGUUGUGGCCAUUUGGGGAGUGGACCAGCUAAUGGAAGAUCCCCCCCAACCCUCUCUCUGUAACUCUGCCUUUCAAAUAAAUAAAUGAAUAAAUCUUAAAAAAAAAAAAAAAAAGGACAGAGAAUCCAUCCACUGAUUCACUCUCCAAAUGCCCACAAAAGCUGGGCCUGUGCCAGGCUGAAGCCAGGAAGGAGCCAUGUGAAUGACAGGGACGCGAGUAAUUGAGCCAUCACCUGCUGCCUCCCCGGUGUGCGUUAGCAGGAAGCUGGAGUCAGAAGUACACCCAGGGGAGGGAGGCAUUACAGCCUCCACUUGGAAUGCCCACGUCCCACGCUGGAGCGGCUGGUUCAAGUCUCAGCUAUUCCACUUCUGAUCCAGCUUCCUGCUAAUGUGCCUAGGAGUCAAAAAAGAUGGCUCGAAUGCAUGAGUCCCUGCCCCCUAUCUAAGAGACCUGAAUGGAGUUUCCAUUUCCUGGCUUCAGCCUGGUCCAUCCCUGGUUGUUGAGGGCAUGUGGGAAGUGAACCUGCAGAUGGAAGCUCUCUGCCUCUUUCUGUGUAACUCUGCCUUUGAAAUGAAUAAAAACAAAUCUUUUUUAAAAAGUAAUGGUUCCUGGGGCUGGCACUGUGGCUCAGUGGUUUAACGCCCUGGCCUGAAGCACCGGCAUCCCAUAUGGGCGCCGGUUCCAGACCCAGCCAUUCCACUUUCGAUCCAACUCUCUGCUAUGGUCUGGGAAAGCAGUAGAAGAUGGCCCAAGUCCUUGGGUCCCAGCACCCACUUGGGAGACCUGGCUUCAGAUCGGCACAGCUCUGGCCAUUUCUGUCAUCUGGGGAGUGAACCAUCGGAUGGAAGACCUCUCUCUCUGUCUCUUUCUGCCUCUCUUCUCUCUCUAACUCUGACUUUCAAAUAAAUAAAUCUUUAAAAAGAAAAAAGAGAGAGAGAGGCGAAGCCUAUGGCCUCACAAAGACUUGGUGUUGACAGCACCAUUGCUCAUAGUCAGAAGGCAGAAGCAAUCGAGUUCCGGGGACUGGUGAACGAAUCAGUGACCUGUGGUGUUUCACGUGAUGGAACGCUAUUCAGCAAGAAAAGGGAACAGAACACUGGCACAGGCUGCGGAACCUCAGAACCAAUACGGCCAGGGAAAGCAGGCAGACACAGAGGAGCACGCAGUGUGCAAUUCUGUUCCUGCGAAAUCCUCGCACAGGCCAAUCUGCACGCCUGGGGCUGGAGUGGGAACGGUGACUACCUGUUGCACAACUCAGUAAAUUUGAUAACAAUCAUGGCAUGGCACACUUGAAAGGAAAUCGCUGUGUGGUAUGUGAAUUACGCCUCAGCCAAGCUGGAAAACAUUUUUACUGCUUUUGUCGGAGCUGAGCUACUGCUUCAAAACUCUUUCUACUACAUACGUGACGGCGGUGAGAAUGCUCUAACACGCUGGGCAGACAGAACGUGAGCAUUUCCAAAUGCUAAACACAGUCGCAGAGGCCACUGUGUCUGUCGGCCCCACCGGGCCCGAGCAGAGCGGGAGUCACAGGUGCUGAGCGCCAUACCACUGGACUGAACCUUUAAGGAAGCAGCUGACUCCCGAAUGGAACAGUGUUCCUGGAGAACAGAAGAUUCCAGACCACCUGAGUCAGUGCAAUCACCCUCGCCAAAAGAUGAUUCCAAAACAGAAGUGACAGAAGGCAAAAAGGCAAACUGGACUUCAUCAGAACGAAAGCUGGAGAAUGGGGCCGGCCUUGGGCACAAUGGUUACGAUGCCACUUGGGACACCUGUGUCCCAUAGAGGGAUGCCUGUGGUUCAAGUACCAGCUCCACUCCUGUUUCCUGCUUCCUGUUUAUGUGCACCUGGGCAGGCAGCACUGGCGCCUGCACUGGGGUCCCUGCCAACCACGUCGGAGGCCAGGAUUGAGUUCUGGGUUCCUGGGAGCCAGCGCUGUACCAUGGAAGGGUAAGUCGCUGCCUGCCAUGCUGGCAUCCCAUCUGAGCACCUGUUGGAGUCCAGGCUGCUCCACUCCUGGCCAAUGAGCCUGGGAAAGCAGCACAAGAUGGCCCAAGUGCUUGGCCCCUGACACCCUCAUGGGAGACCCAGAUGGAGUUCCAGGCUCCUGGCUUCAGCCUGGUCCAGCCCUGGCCAUUGCAGCCAUUUUGAGGUGUGAACAAGCAAAUGGAAGAUGUGUCUCUCUCUCUCUCUGCCUUUUUUUUUUUUUUUAAGAUUUUUAUUUAUUUAUUUGAAAGGAGAGGCAGAGAGAGAGAGGUUUCCAUCUGCUGGUUUGCUCCCCAAUUGGCCGCAACAGCCGUAGCUGUGCCAAUCCAAAGCCAGGGGUCAGGAGCUUCUUCUGGGUCUCCCACAUGGAUGCAGGGGCCCAAGCACUUGAACCAUCUUCUACUGCUUUCCCAGGCCAUAGCAGAGAGCUGGAUCGGAAGUGAAGCAGCCUGGACUCGAACCAGCACCCAUAUGGGAUGCCGGCAGUACAGGCAGCAGCCUUACCCACUACGCCACAGUGCUGGCCCCUCCCUCUGCCUUUCAAUUAAAUAAAUAAAUCUCUAAAAAAGAGAGAGAGAGAGAGGUAGAAACAGAGAGAGGGCCAGUGCCACAGUUCAUUAGGCUAAUCCUCCGCCUGUGGCACCGGCACACCAGGUUCUAGUCCCAGUUGCAGUGCUGGAUUCUGUCCUGGUUGCUCCUCUUCCAGUCCAGCUCUCUGCUGUAGCCCGGGAGUGCAGUGGAGGAUGGCCCAGGUCCUUGGGCUCUGCACCUGCAUGGGAGACCAGGAGGAAGUGUUGAAAUGAAAAAAUAUCUAUAUCUAUACUAUAUCUACAUCUAUAUCUAUAACUAGCGGAUGCUGAAUAUCAAUUGCUUUUUGCUUCUGUACUGCGCUGCUUGCUCAAUGACUUGAUGCGGGAUGCCCGGCGUGAGAAAAGUCGGGGGCAGAUAGUUGUACCUCCAUGACUGGCUUCACAAACUUCAGGAAGACAGGAAGGCCCAAUUCUCAGAAAACGAAACUUAGUAAAUACUUCCUGAAAUUAAUGGUCUCCUACUUCCUUGUGUGACCACUUCCUCUGAGACGCGUAGUCCCGGACUUCUGGGAUGCACCAAUAAAACGCUCAAAUUUAGGUAACUGACAUAUAAAGAAUAAAAGAACUAGCAUACAUGCGUAA